UCCAUUUCAUGCCUACCCUUGAUCCAACUCAAUCGAACAUUCGUGCCAUUUUCGCAUGGCUUAAAGUUUACAUGCCAAAGUUCAAACACAACGUAAUAGCUUAUACAUGCCAAAAUGUUCUUCUAAGCCAACUAAGAAGAAAGUACCAAAACUUGCUAUCCGGUGUGAUGACUUCGAUGACGGCCCGAUCACGCAAAAAGAGAUGUGUCCAAGAAACCUAGAAUAGGUGACAAGGAAACACCGAGUGAGUUUAUAACUCAGUAAGUCAUAAGCUAUGCACUACCAUCCAUCCAUAACAUUAUCACAAGAGAAAACAAAAUGGAACGAGGCUAAUUACUCCAUCCAUUCCGAACCAUACCAUAGUUCCUCCAACCUAUCGAUUCAAUUUCAUAUCAAUUCAUGCAUUCACAUUCCAUAUACUCAUCAAUAGGACAUUGAAGCAUUUUCAUAAAUCAAUUUAUUUUCGUUACAAUCAAACGACUAAACGGCCUUUCACCCAUCCUACGUUAAAUUUUAUGUACGUGACUUCAAGUAUGGUUGUCACAUAGGUUCAAACUUACCGAGCUCAACACCAAGUAUAAGCAUAGCACCUAUUAGCCAUGUACUCAAGACACUUACCCGAUCCGCUGUCCGCGAUCGACUCAAUAGUGUCGCACACAUAGUGUCCAUAAUGAUUCACGAAUGCAUAUUGAGUCCGCACACUCAGUGCUAUAUAAUCAACUCGCACACUUAGUGCUACGUAAUCAAAUCGCACACUUAGUGCUACAUAGUCAAACUCGCACACUUAGUGCCGCAUGGUCAAUUCGCACACUUAGUGCAUCAUAUUCAUUUCGCACACUUAGUGCAACAUAGUCAAAUCGCACACUUAGUGCUGUACAAUUUAAUCCCACGCACUUAGCGCCAAUCUCAUGGUCAUAAAUGGUUAUACCCGCACGUUUAGUGCCGAGAUCAACAACUCAGUACAUCUUACCUCUUUUCUUUUCAUUCAACAAUUUCAUCAUCACAUACGUACAUGCAUAUAUAUAUAUGUAUAUUUAUUCAUUCCAUUCAGCAUCAAUACAUAAACAUUAAGACCAUUUGAAAUAAUACCAACUACAUGCUUAAUGACUUACCUUGUGUUGGGUAAGACGGUUCCAACUCGACUACUCAGUGAUCUUUUCUUUGCCUUUAUCGGAUCUAGUUCCCUUUUGCUCUUGAGCUUAAGUUCAACAAAAUUUAAAAUAGUCAUUAAUCGACUAUUCAAGUAUUACUUUCAGAAUAAUAUAUAUAUUGAUUUGACCUUCACACACAUAGAUUAUAGUAAGCUUUAUAAUAGUCAAUAAAUAACUCAUUGGCAAAUUUUCAUUAAUGUUUACAACAAAAUCACAUAUUCACUACGAGCUGUUUUCCUGAGUAGUAGUCGCUAAAUUGUUUAUAACUGGAGCUACAAAACUCCAAAUCACUAGUCGUUAAUUUUCCCUGAAUAUAGACUCGUAUAUCUUCCAUCCAUAAAAUUUUCAGAAUUUUUGGCUUGGCCAAUCAAUACCAGAUUUUUCUUAAAUUUUCCCCUGUUUCACUGUUUGACUAUUCUGACCACUCUUCACUACGAAUCAAAUUUCUCAUUUUACAGAAUUCAAAAUGUGUUGUAUUUGAUCUCAUUUGAAACUAGACUCAUUAAGGAGUCUAAGCAUAUAAAUUUUAUCUUAUAAUCAUUUUUGUACAAUUUAUAAUGAUUUCCUAAAAACAAAACAGGGAAUCUAGUAGUCAUUUUGACUCAGCCCCACAAUACUUCAAAUAUCUCAAGAUCGGUAACUCUUUUGUUUUUAUAGUUUCUUUUAUAAGAAAAUAGGCUCUUCAAGAUUUAAUGGCAUAAUUCACUCAGCUUCUAAUUCAACUCCUACAAAUUAUGGCGAUUUUCCAAAAUCACCUUACUGCUGCUGUCCCCAAAUAGAUUAUUACCAAAUCAAAUACUAACAUUAGCAUUUCACCUUAAUAGCUAGCUUACCAAGCCUUAAUUUAACAUAUUAAUCUUUAACAUAUCUUUCACUUUUCAUCAACAACUAUCAAAAAGCUCAAGCACUCAUCAAUGGCAAAACACAAAAUCAUCAUCAAUCCAUAAAAUUGAACCAUGGGUUUUUAGAACUCAAGUCAACUACUAAAACAUGCAUGCAUCUCAAGAACAACAUCAAACAUACCUUAGUCUAGCAAACCACCAUAGCCGAUUUUCUCAAGCUCUUCCCCUUCCUUUCUUUCCUCUAUUCGGCCAAAGGUGUUCAAGAAUGAACACAUUUUUUUUUUGUUUUCUUUCCUCAACUCACGGCAACAAGGGGGGUAUGGAUGAGACCAUUUUUUUUUUCAUCACCCUUCCUUUUCAUUGUUUAAUUACCAUGCUCUUUAUUUUAUUUUUCUUAGCAUACAUCACUAGCAUAACAUGUUGGUGACAUGUUUCCACCCAUAGCAUGGCCAGCCACUAUGCUUUAAUUUGGCUAAUUUGACAUGCAAGGACAAACACUUUCCCACAUAUAUUAAUGGGCCACUUGAACACUUGCCUAGCAUAUUUCUAAAUUGUCUCACAUAAGUCCCUACUAAUAAAUUCCACAUACACUGACCAAAUUAAAGUAUGGAACUAUCACACAAGCAUUUACGCACAUCAUAAACACAGGAUAUAAUCUUUAAUUAUUUAUAAGACUCGGUUUUGUGGUCCCGAAACCACUUCCCGACUAGGGUCAAUUUUGGGCUGUUACAAAACGCUUGUAAAAACUUACAUGGCCAAGAAAAGAAAGGAUUUCCCUUACAAUCGUGGGGUAUGGAAGUGAGUUAAUAACAUCAGGUUUGACCUUAUCAACCGUAAUCUCUUCAACAGGGACAACAUGACCUGAAUUGAAUCCCUUAUCAACCAUAAAAUGACAUUUUUCAUAGUUUAGAAUGAGAUUAAAUUAUAGACAUCUUUCCAAAAUCUUACUGAGGUUUGAUAGACAUUCAUUGAAAGAAUCACCAUACACCGUGAAGUCAUCCAUAAAUACAUAAAUUAUUUUCUCGACAUAGUUUGAAAAUAUGCUUACCAUACACCUCUAAAAUGUGGCCAAUAUGGAAAAAAGGACAUGCAAACAUCUUCUUUUCUUGGUCUAUAGGUAAAUGUGCCAAAAGGACAUGUGAAUGUCUUCUUUUCUUAGUCUUCCAGUGCUACUAGAAUUUGGAAGAAACUUGAAUAGUCACCAAGACAGCAAUAGUGAGAUUUACUGGCUAAGCAUUCGAGCAUUUAGCCAAUGAAAGGAAGUGGAAAUUGGCUUUUCAAGUUAAAACAUUUAACUUCUUGUAGUUUAUAUAGACUUUCCACUCGUUUUAGACCCGAGAGGGAACCAAUUCAGAAAGUUAGGAAUUGAGCAUCAAUUAAUCUCUGGAAUGAUUUCUGACCACUAAAACCUGGUCAAUGAAGGGUGAAAACUCAAGACAUCAACAUAAAUUAUAUGAAUGUUUCAGACUUAAUAGAUAUGGACACUUUUACUUGGAAAUCUGAAGUAUUGAGGGCUUUAUUUGAUGACAAACAAGUGAGAAGGAUAUUGGCAAUCCCAUUGGCUAGUAGUGCACAGACGAAUGAAGUAGUGUGGCAUAAAGGCAACACUAGCGUCUAUAAAGCUAAAAGAGGAUACAAGUGGCUAGUUACAGAGGAAUUGGAUUUGCUAGGAUAUGAUCACACAACACAUUCUACAGUACUAAAAGCUUUCUAUAGUUGUAGAAUUUAAAUAUCCCAUGCAAAAUCAGGAUUGCAAUGUGGAAAAUUGCCAAUGGGUAUUUUCCUACGCUACAAAUGUUAAAAAAAACGAUAGCAAUAGAAAGCCUUUUUCCUAUCUACCAAACUGAGGAGGAAUCAGUAGAGCACCUGUUUCAGGAAUGUUAGUUCACGUAACAAAUCCUGUAGAGGAUUGGUGUGGUGUUCUCAACCACAAAUGGAAAGCAAAAUUGGAAACUUUGGUUGGUAGAAGAGUUUAUAAACAACAGCUGCUCUAUGUGCAAAACAAUAGCUAUUAGCUAUUGGGCAUUAUGGUACAAUCGAAACAAGGUAAAUUAUGAGGGGGCAAGGAAACAAAUGCAUGAAGUACUAGCUUUUAUCAAUGCUCAUAUUUUAGAGAUGAAAAAAUUAGAAGAUAUAACAGUACCAAUGUAAAACCCUCGAGUUAGUAAAUGGAAGCCACUAGAAGGUGAUAGUGUUAAAGCUCAUUUCAUCAACAGUUAAAUAAAUCAGUCUAGGUGAUUUUAAUUAGAAACAGGGAGGGCCUAGUUAUGGCAACGUGUACUUACCUGAAUGAGCGUGUUAAAAUCAACCAUGGAAAAAGCGCGAGCAUGUUUGAAACCUGUAAUUUUCGUGAAGGAACUAGGGUUUAGAAGGAUUUUGGUAGAAGGGGACAUCUUAACUGUUUUGAAGAGAGUAAGGACCGUAGAGGAGGAUAAAUCAAAUAUCAGUAAUCUAGUCAAGGAAGUAAAAGAAAGGAUUUGUAGGUUUGAAAAAAAUAGAAUUUCGAAACGUACCUUAGAAAGCUAAUGAAGUUUGGCAGAGGAAGGUAGGCGUUAUGAAAACCCCAAAUAUUGGAUAGAAGAGGCUCUGAAGAGAGUGAAAGAACUAUUAAAUCAAGAUUGACAUGGACUACAAUGAGAGGGAUGAAGAAUGAGGUUACUGAGACCGAAAGAACUAUGACUAUUUGGACUUCGAUGAACUCAGAUUGUCAUAGAGGGAUCGAGCCGUAAACGGAAGCAUACCCAAGAUCAACAGGAGGAAAACAGGACUGCCUCUGGUGUUUUUGUGAUGUAAUGAUCGAAUUAGCGAAAUGGAAAGGAAGAUGGUUCAUUUCUUUACUAUUUUUGGUUUUCUUUUCCUUUAGAAAUCUAUUUUGGUUUUUGGAUAUGAGUUAUCCCCAAUUUUUUAAUUCUGUUACUUUCAAGGCACUGCCCAUUCGACUAAUAAAAUUGACGCAGAAGAAAAGUUGAUUGGUGGGCUGGGAAUUGUAACCGAUGACUUCC
Molecule: long non-coding RNA, 4995 nt
Filed under: Gossypium barbadense (sea-island cotton)
Lineage: Eukaryota; Viridiplantae; Streptophyta; Magnoliopsida; Malvales; Malvaceae
Description: long non-coding RNA (GBAR_LNC023593)
Source: RNAcentral